Long non-coding RNA from Chrysoperla carnea, 356 nucleotides. RefSeq lists it as uncharacterized. NCBI's taxonomy places the organism in Eukaryota, Metazoa, Arthropoda, Insecta, Neuroptera, Chrysopidae. The transcript has 3 exons. The record is from RefSeq and is a predicted model, not a curated record.
AAUUUAUUUUUUGUCUUGCAAGAUAAAAUCAUUAAAUGAAUUACAAAGAAAAUAAUAUAAAACUAGAAUUCUCCAAGAUAAAUAUUCAAUGUUACAUAACCUCUUUAAGGUAAAUCUCCAACUACUCGCGCAUACGAAGUAAGACAGAAGGAAAUAAUAAACGUACCUUAAAAAUCUAGGAAAAACCACCACAGGAUGACCGAGCGAUACACAACCAAACAAAAACACCAGCCGUUGAUGAAAUGUCCAGAUUAAAUGACCCAAUCCAUCAAUUGUCCGAUGUAAUAUUCAAAACGUGCUCGCGUUGCGGGCACGGACGUGUAAAAUUAUUAAUUUUUAAUAAAUUUUAUAACUGA